GGGGAAUUUUUCCGCAAUGGGCGAAAGCCUGACGGAGCAAUACCGCGUGAGGGAAGACGGCCCAUGGGUUGUAAACCUCUUUUUUCAGGGAGGAAUAAAUGACGUGUACCUGAAGAAUAAGCAUCGGCUAACU
Molecule: ribosomal RNA, 133 nt
Filed under: uncultured bacterium
Lineage: Bacteria
Description: partial 16S ribosomal RNA
Rfam family: Bacterial small subunit ribosomal RNA
Source: RNAcentral